Molecule: ribosomal RNA, 243 nt
Filed under: uncultured prokaryote
Description: partial 16S ribosomal RNA
Rfam family: Bacterial small subunit ribosomal RNA
Source: RNAcentral
GACGAACCGUGCGAACGUUAUUCGGAAUCACUGGGCUUAAAGCGCGUGUAGGCGGAUCGGCACGUCGGUCGCUGAAAUCCCCCGGCUCAACCGGGGAACGGGCGCCGAUACGACCGGUCUGGAGGAACGUAGGGGGACCGGGAACUUCCGGUGUAGCGGUGAAAUGCGUAGAUAUCGGAAGGAACAUCAGUGGCGAAGGCGACUUCCUGGACCAAUACUGACACUCAAGUGCGAAAGCGUGGG